This 1396-nucleotide long non-coding RNA is filed under the name Rattus norvegicus (Norway rat). RNAcentral's name for it is "long non-coding RNA NONRATT016755". The record is from RNAcentral. Lineage: Eukaryota; Metazoa; Chordata; Mammalia; Rodentia; Muridae.
UUAGGGUUGUAGGCGGAGACAUCCUUGAGGUCUCUGCUGCCAAACCUUUCAGCCCUAGAGCUGGAGCAGGAUCUGAAGCUGCUGCUGCAAACUGCUUUAAGUCAACCAGCUCUUUGAAGCAAACAUCCAUGAACAACUGAGUGAAUAUUGUGGGAAACAGCUGUGCGGAGCAGAUAGGAGUAGUUCCGUUCACCCUGGUCCUCUUAGCAGGGAUCCUAGCAUAGCUGUCCUCUGAGAAGCUUCACCCAGCUGGUGACAGAAACAGAUGCAGAGAUCCACAGCCAAACAUUAAAUGGAGCUUGGAGAAUUUUGUGGAAGAAUAAGGGGAAGUAUUGAGGGACCAGAAGAGCAUAGAGACUCCGCAGACUACCAAAGUCAACUAACCUGGAUACUUAGAGCCUCUCUGAUAUUGAAUCACCAAAUGAAGAACAAGUAUAGACUAGAUGUAGGCGAUUUGUAUGUAUGUAGCAUAUGUAGGAUGUCAAGUCCUUUGAGCAUAUACCAAGGAGCUGAAUUAUAAGGUAGAUCUACUUUUAGCUUUUUGGAGAAUUUCUCAUCCUCAGUUUUAUAGUAGCUUCACUAGUUUUUUCCCCUUUCCCCACCUCCUCCCUGAUAUUUGUUGUCAGGUGUUUUAUUUUAGACACUACAACUAAGAUAAGAUGAACUCUCAAAUCCAUUUUAAUUUACAGUUCCAUAAUGGCUAAGGAUAUCUGAUUAUAUUCUAAGUAUGUAACUUUUUUAAUUAAAAGAUAUAUGUUUGUAGCUCUCAUCCCCCAUUAAAGAAUUGCAGCAGAGUGAGGCUACUAUAGUGAUCCAUAACUAGUUAAAUUGUAAAGAGUAAGUGACCACAGUAUGACUACUCAACCACAACUAAUAAAUCUGUAAUACAACUGCUAUGACUUAGAGAUAAUCAUAAAAAUGGGAAUAGAAAUAUUAUAAUAGCCUAAGGACCAGAAUACUUGUUGGUAGAAAGUGUCUUUUAGACAUUACAGGAAAGCUGCACCUGUGAAAUUGCAGCAAUAAAGUUGCCUAAACAAGACCUAUAUACUGACACCAGAUGGCAGGCCAGCAUGAAUGGGGUAAAUUUCAUAAGGCUUCACACCUACUAUAGGCAAUCAAUGGGUUCUGAGAGAGUGAAAAUCAGUUUUUCCCUGGGAGGAGCUCCCUGAUAGGUUAUCUAAUACUGAGGGUUCAGCCCUAAAUACAUAUCCAUACUAGCAACAUCAAAUGGACUUAGUGGCAGUGGGAUAUAUGGAGAGGUUGUAAAUUUGAGAAAUAGUAGGGGUGCUUAUGAGGGAUGGAAGGCAGAGAAUAUGGGGUGGAAAUAAUGUAAGAAAAUAAUGUAAAUGUACAACUCUUGUGUAAAAAAUCUAAAAAAAUUAAAAGUUAAAAAUUC